RNAcentral lists this ribosomal RNA (492 nucleotides) under uncultured bacterium. Its description in RNAcentral is "partial 16S ribosomal RNA". It matches the Rfam family "Bacterial small subunit ribosomal RNA", at positions 29 to 507 of the family's 1533-position model. The record is from RNAcentral.
AGUGAACGCUGGCGGUAGGCCUAACACAUGCAAGUCGAACGGCAGCACAGUAAGAGCUUGCUCUUACGGGUGGCGAGUGGCGGACGGGUGAGGAAUAUAUCGGAAUCUACUUUUUCGUGGGGGUUAACGUAGGGAAACUUACGCUAAUACCGCAUACGACCUACGGGUGAAAGCAGGGGAUCUUCGGACCUUGCGCGAUUGAAUGAGCCGAUGUCGGAUUAGCUAGUUGGCGGGGUAAAGGCCCACCAAGGCGACGAUCCGUAGCUGGUCUGAGAGGAUGAUCGGCCGCACUGGAACUGAGACACGGUCCAGACUCCUACGGGAGGCAGCAGUGGGGAAUAUUGGACAAUGGGCGCAAGCCUGAUCCAGCCAGACCGCGUGGGUGAAGAAGGCCUUCGGGUUGUAAAGCCCUUUUGUUGGGAAAGAAAAGCAGCAGGUUAAUACCCCGCUGUUCUGACGGUACCCAAAGAAUAAGCACCGGCUAACUUCGUG